UGCGAGAUGGCUGAGUUUUAGGCGAAAGAUUGUAAUUCUUUUAACGGAGGUUUCUUCUCUCGUAA
RNAcentral lists this transfer RNA (65 nucleotides) under Tectus pyramis. Its description in RNAcentral is "tRNA-Tyr". It matches the Rfam family "tRNA". Rfam says of the family: Transfer RNA (tRNA) molecules are approximately 80 nucleotides in length. Their secondary structure includes four short double-helical elements and three loops (D, anti-codon, and T loops). Further hydrogen bonds mediate the characteristic L-shaped molecular structure. tRNAs have two regions of fundamental functional importance: the anti-codon, which is responsible for specific mRNA codon recognition, and the 3' end, to which the tRNAs corresponding amino acid is attached (by aminoacyl-tRNA synthetases). tRNAs cope with the degeneracy of the genetic code in two manners: having more than one tRNA (with a specific anti-codon) for a particular amino acid; and 'wobble' base-pairing, i.e. permitting non-standard base-pairing at the 3rd anti-codon position. Lineage: Eukaryota; Metazoa; Mollusca; Gastropoda; Trochida; Tegulidae. The record is from RNAcentral.